AUGAACGUGUUCCGACUUGAAUCUCGCGUUGCUGCCGUCAUAGAUUAUCUCGCAAGGAUGAAGGUCACAACUUCCCGCAUCGACACAACACUCUGGCCAAGAGAGACACUCCAGAGCGACCUCGAGUCUCUGAUGACUCGACUGAACGAGGUCCCAAGUCGAGUGCAAGAGUGGAAGAAGUCUUCGGCCAGGAGCGGCGCGGAUGUUGCUCUGUCUCUGGUCCGCGUUCACUGCAAGGAUGCACGAGAGGACAAGUUGGUGGCUCUCAGGGUGGCCAACACCAAGAAGCACGAUUUCAGAUCUUUCAUGGAGACCUUCAUCGCCGCUGCCACUCCGAUUGCAGAUGGAAUUGAUCUGGACGAGUUUGUGGCACCUUCUAGCCCUCCACAGGAGGGGUAA
RNAcentral lists this ribosomal RNA (399 nucleotides) under Triticum aestivum (bread wheat). Its description in RNAcentral is "partial small subunit ribosomal RNA". Lineage: Eukaryota; Viridiplantae; Streptophyta; Magnoliopsida; Poales; Poaceae. The record is from RNAcentral.